GGACUACCGGGGUAUCUAAUCCCGUUUGCUACCCUAGCUUUCGCGCCUCAGCGUCAAGAACAGGCCAGGAAGUCGCCUUCGCCACUGGUGUUCCUCCCGAUAUCUACGCAUUUCACCACUACACCGGGAAUUCCACUCCCCUCUCCUGCCUUCGAGUCGAACAGUAUCGCGUGACCCUCCCCAGUUGAGCCGGGGGCUUUCACACGCGACUUGUACGACCGCCUGCGCGCUCUUUACGCCCAGUAAAUCCGGACAACGCUCGCCACCUACGUAUUACCGCGGCGGCUGGCAC
RNAcentral lists this unclassified non-coding RNA (292 nucleotides) under uncultured Chloroflexota bacterium. RNAcentral describes it as "uncultured Chloroflexi bacterium contains 16S-23S intergenic spacer region". The record is from RNAcentral. Lineage: Bacteria; Bacillati; Chloroflexota.